Molecule: long non-coding RNA, 325 nt
Organism: Oncorhynchus tshawytscha (Chinook salmon)
Lineage: Eukaryota; Metazoa; Chordata; Actinopteri; Salmoniformes; Salmonidae
Source: Ensembl
GUUUUAUGUACCAUUACCCAACGGGAGUUAGAGGCUGUUUUAUGUACCAUUACCCAACUGGAGUUAGAGGCUGUAACAUGUACCAUUACCCAGCGGGAGUUAGAGGCUGUAACAUGUACCAUUACCCGGCAGGAGUUAGAGGCUGUAACAUGUACCAUUACCCAGCUAGAAUUAGAGGCUGUACCAUUACCCAGCUGGAGUUAGAGGCUGUAACAUGUACCAUUACCCAGCUAGAAUUAGAGGAUGUACCAUUACCCAGCUAGAAUUAGAGGAUGUACCAUUACCCAGCUAGAAUUAGAGGCUGUAACAUGUAUCAGUAACCAGC